CGCGUGCACUGGUCCGGCCGGGUCUUUCCCUCUGGGGAACCGCAUGCCAUUCACUUGGUGUGCCGGGGAACCAGGACUUUUACUUUGAAAAAAUUAGAGUGUUCAAAGCAGGCCUAUGCUCGAAUACAUUAGCAUGGAAUAAUAGAAUAGGACGUGUGGUUCUAUUUUGUUGGUUUCUAGGACCGCCGUAAUGAUUAAUAGGGACAGUCGGGGGCAUCAGUAUUCAAUUGUCAGAGGUGAAAUUCUUGGAUUUAUUGAAGACUAACUACUGCGAAAGCAUUUGCCAAGGAUGUUUUCAUUAAUCAGGAACGAAAGUUAGGGGAUCGAAGACGAUCAGAUACCGUCGUAGUCUUAACCAUAAACUAUGCCGACUAGGGAUCGGACGAUGUUAUUUUUUGACUCGUUCGGCACCUUACACGAAAGUACAAGUUUCUGGGUUCUGGGGGGAGUAUGGUCGCAAGGCUGAAACUUAAAGAAAUUGACGGAGGGGCACCACCCAGGGGUAAACCGCAGUUUAAAACUCUGCCCCGCACAGCGGCUCCGCGAGGAGUUGGUGGACCGACCCUACUGAAAAAACAACCGCUAGUCGCUCCCCCGGAGCGGCGAUAUCCUCAAAUUGCGGGGAACCCUCGAAGGCACCCACUCCCAAGCGGCCCCCCGAAAGGGCGGCCGUGGCGGCGCGUAACUGCUCCGGUACGGGAAUAACGUGGGGCGCCAUGAGGCGACUCGCAG
Molecule: ribosomal RNA, 732 nt
Filed under: uncultured eukaryote
Lineage: Eukaryota
Description: bacterial SSU rRNA
Rfam family: Eukaryotic small subunit ribosomal RNA (bases 1-577)
Source: RNAcentral